AUAGCCUGGCGAAAUUUGCAAUUUUCAGUCAUUUUGUAUUACAAACGGGAAAUUAAUGCCCCAACACCCGACUGGGCUGUCAAUUUCCCGUGCGUAAUACAAAAUGACUGAAAAACGGCAAACUUCGCAAGGCUAUAUUAUCCGCGUUUUACAACAUUUAGCAACGAAGCUUCGGAAUAUUACUAAUUUUGUGAUGCUCUUUCAAGCUGUG
Paramuricea clavata is the source of this 211-nucleotide non-coding RNA. The record is from the annotation of a GenBank genome assembly. NCBI's taxonomy places the organism in Eukaryota, Metazoa, Cnidaria, Anthozoa, Malacalcyonacea, Plexauridae.